GCUGUCAUAGCUCAAUAGGCAGAGCAACCGCCUUGUAAGCGGUAGGUUGUAAGUGCAAGUCUUACUGACAGCACCA
RNAcentral lists this transfer RNA (76 nucleotides) under Moraxella sp. K127. RNAcentral describes it as "tRNA-Thr". It matches the Rfam family "tRNA". From Rfam's summary of the family: Transfer RNA (tRNA) molecules are approximately 80 nucleotides in length. Their secondary structure includes four short double-helical elements and three loops (D, anti-codon, and T loops). Further hydrogen bonds mediate the characteristic L-shaped molecular structure. tRNAs have two regions of fundamental functional importance: the anti-codon, which is responsible for specific mRNA codon recognition, and the 3' end, to which the tRNAs corresponding amino acid is attached (by aminoacyl-tRNA synthetases). tRNAs cope with the degeneracy of the genetic code in two manners: having more than one tRNA (with a specific anti-codon) for a particular amino acid; and 'wobble' base-pairing, i.e. permitting non-standard base-pairing at the 3rd anti-codon position. Lineage: Bacteria; Pseudomonadati; Pseudomonadota; Gammaproteobacteria; Moraxellales; Moraxellaceae. The record is from RNAcentral.